This 1724-nucleotide ribosomal RNA is filed under the name Escherichia coli. RNAcentral describes it as "partial 23S ribosomal RNA". It matches the Rfam family "Bacterial large subunit ribosomal RNA", at positions 1 to 1767 of the family's 2925-position model. The record is from RNAcentral. Lineage: Bacteria; Pseudomonadati; Pseudomonadota; Gammaproteobacteria; Enterobacterales; Enterobacteriaceae.
GGUUAAGCGACUAAGCGUACACGGUGGAUGCCCUGGCAGUCAGAGGCGAUGAAGGACGUGCUAAUCUGCGAUAAGCGUCGGUAAGGUGAUAUGAACCGUUAUAACCGGCGAUUUCCGAAUGGGGAAACCCAGUGUGAUUCGUCACACUAUCAUUAACUGAAUCCAUAGGUUAAUGAGGCGAACCGGGGGAACUGAAACAUCUAAGUACCCCGAGGAAAAGAAAUCAACCGAGAUUCCCCCAGUAGCGGCGAGCGAACGGGGAGCAGCCCAGAGCCUGAAUCAGUGUGUGUGUUAGUGGAAGCGUCUGGAAAGGCGCGCGAUACAGGGUGACAGCCCCGUACACAAAAAUGCACAUGCUGUGAGCUCGAUGAGUAGGGCGGGACACGUGGUAUCCUGUCUGAAUAUGGGGGGACCAUCCUCCAAGGCUAAAUACUCCUGACUGACCGAUAGUGAACCAGUACCGUGAGGGAAAGGCGAAAAGAACCCCGGCGAGGGGAGUGAAAAAGAACCUGAAACCGUGUACGUACAAGCAGUGGGAGCACGCUUAGGCGUGUGACUGCGUACCUUUUGUAUAAUGGGUCAGCGACUUAUAUUCUGUAGCAAGGUUAACCGAAUAGGGGAGCCGAAGGGAAACCGAGUCUUAACUGGGCGUUAAGUUGCAGGGUAUAGACCCGAAACCCGGUGAUCUAGCCAUGGGCAGGUUGAAGGUUGGGUAACACUAACUGGAGGACCGAACCGACUAAUGUUGAAAAAUUAGCGGAUGACUUGUGGCUGGGGGUGAAAGGCCAAUCAAACCGGGAGAUAGCUGGUUCUCCCCGAAAGCUAUUUAGGUAGCGCCUCGUGAAUUCAUCUCCGGGGGUAGAGCACUGUUUCGGCAAGGGGGUCAUCCCGACUUACCAACCCGAUGCAAACUGCGAAUACCGGAGAAUGUUAUCACGGGAGACACACGGCGGGUGCUAACGUCCGUCGUGAAGAGGGAAACAACCCAGACCGCCAGCUAAGGUCCCAAAGUCAUGGUUAAGUGGGAAACGAUGUGGGAAGGCCCAGACAGCCAGGAUGUUGGCUUAGAAGCAGCCAUCAUUUAAAGAAAGCGUAAUAGCUCACUGGUCGAGUCGGCCUGCGCGGAAGAUGUAACGGGGCUAAACCAUGCACCGAAGCUGCGGCAGCGACGCUGAUGCGUUGUUGGGUAGGGGAGCGUUCUGUAAGCCUGCGAAGGUGUGCUGUGAGGCAUGCUGGAGGUAUCAGAAGUGCGAAUGCUGACAUAAGUAACGAUAAAGCGGGUGAAAAGCCCGCUCGCCGGAAGACCAAGGGUUCCUGUCCAACGUUAAUCGGGGCAGGGUGAGUCGACCCCUAAGGCGAGGCCGAAAGGCGUAGUCGAUGGGAAACAGGUUAAUAUUCCUGUACUUGGUGUUACUGCGAAGGGGGGACGGAGAAGGCUAUGUUGGCCGGGCGACGGUUGUCCCGGUUUAAGCGUGUAGGCUGGUUUUCCAGGCAAAUCCGGAAAAUCAAGGCUGAGGCGUGAUGACGAGGCACUACGGUGCUGAAGCAACAAAUGCCCUGCUUCCAGGAAAAGCCUCUAAGCAUCAGGUAACAUCAAAUCGUACCCCAAACCGACACAGGUGGUCAGGUAGAGAAUACCAAGGCGCUUGAGAGAACUCGGGUGAAGGAACUAGGCAAAAUGGUGCCGUAACUUCGGGAGAAGGCACGCUGAUAUGUAGGUGAAG